AGCCGCAUCGGUUAGAUCGGGAUACUCAUCAAAUUUAUUCUGAAAACCGAGAAAGCUUCGUCCAUCAAUGGCGGGCCACGCCUUCGGGUAGCUGAAUAAGCCGGUGGAUUACAAAGAUGGCGGGCACUCAAAACUUGUUAGUUAGGAGUUUUCAUCACAUCAUCGGUGCGGCUUUCUU
RNAcentral lists this small RNA (178 nucleotides) under uncultured Paraprevotella sp. RNAcentral describes it as "Bacteroidales-1 6S-Bacteroidales RNA suggested". It matches the Rfam family "Bacteroidales-1 6S-Bacteroidales RNA suggested". The record is from RNAcentral. Lineage: Bacteria; Pseudomonadati; Bacteroidota; Bacteroidia; Bacteroidales; Prevotellaceae.